GUAUCUCAUACAAAGGGCCUCUUAUGCACAUCACGCUGUGCUGGAAUUUUCUUUACACAUUUGUCUCCUGUUUUUCUUUCAUGGAUUCACAGCCCUUGGAGCACAUCCGUUCUCAAUACAGUUGGCUAAAUUCUGGGAUUGUAAUCCUUUACCAAAGAUUUUUUGACAAGUGUUCUUGAUGAAGAUGGGUGAUUUAUAAACUUUUACAACUAGGGGAAAUCCCCUGCUGACCUUAAGGUUGGAAAGCACAUAGUCAACAAAAAGGCCAAAGGGGCUCUUGGCCAAGGUGGCCCUUUGCUCCACUUCUGACCUCAUCAGGAGUCAGAGCUCUGACCUCUUCGAGUGCGGUUUGUUAAACCAGCAGAGACCUUUGGACAAAGUGAAGGCAGAUGGAAUUACCUGCUCACCCUGCAAGAUGGAGGCUGGCUUUCCCAUUUUAGAGAUGUGAAGACCCAAAGCUCCAGAGGAUGGGCCCAGCAGAGGCUGGGAGGCACCGAAGCCACAACAUCUGUAUCUUCUGCUUUCUAGACAAGGACUCCAAGGCCCAGGGCCACUAGGGUGGACAAGGUGCAUCCAGGUAGCAGCGGAGAACCCACGAGAGGCUCAACUAGCAUCAUUGAUGGGAGUCCGGGAGCCACCGAGCAGUCUCUCGUGCUCACCCUCUUCUGCCGGGGGCCGGCCCCUGGCCAGGCGGGUGAGCAGUGGGCGGUGCAGCCCAUUGUAGAGGGCGGUGCCUGUCAGCAGGAUGAGGAAGCCCAGGAUCUGCAGAGGGUGGAAGGCCUCCCAGCCCAGCGCCAGGCUCAGCGCCCAAAUGACAAUGGUACGCAGGCUGUCCAGCACCAUGCGGGUCGUGGCGCUCAGUUCCUUGGUGACGCUGAUGCCCGCGAAGUUGAAGAAGGCGAUGCUGCUGAUGUUGCCCAGCAGCGCCAGGGCGAUGAGCGGUUGUCGGCCCACCUGGCAGAAGGCGUCCAGCGCGUCCUCCAGCGUCCCUCGGGGGCUUCCACUGAAGGAGCCGGCAGGGAUAUAGUACAUGGGCACCAGCAGCAGGGAGAGGAUCACGAAGCCAAAGAGGCCUGUGGGAGUGGAAGAAGCAUGCUGCACCUUCUGUUCGGCCCCCAAGCCCCCACCCCCCCACCGGCAGCUCAGCCUGCCCAGCAGGGGCUCCACUGAUCUCCCUCCCAGCCAGCGCCCCCGUCCUGGGGCACCUCACGCCAGCUCCUCCCUGUUGGGCCCUGGAGCUACCUGUUCAUCUGGAACUCACCGUGGCCUACUGAGGGGGCUCCAGCUGCCCUGCUCCACUAUAAUCAUAUUUUAUAAUCGGAGCAAGGAUAAAAACUACAUUUUAUAUAAUGACCUGUAUAUGUAUGCACAGGCACAUACACACAUGCACACUUUCACAAUACAGUGGCUAUCUUUACAAUGUUCUCUGGCACUUUUAAAUUCCAUUGUAUUCAUUUACAAAAGAAUGGCAGCUGUGAUGGCGACGCUGCUCUCACAAGCGUGGAGAAACAUGGUUUUCUAAUCCAGGGUCGCUGGUCUGUGACCAGGAGUGGACUAGAAUGUAAAUCAAUGCACUGCUUCAUUAAGAAAGUCUUGCUAGGGAAAAAAAGAGUGGAUGCAAACAAUGUGCUUGAUGACAUAGUGGAUCGAGAUGAUUAACGCUGUGCCAGAAGCCCGUGGCGCGCACACGGCUCCCUGAUUGAUCCACAGGCCAUGCUUGGCUAGUGCUGCUCUAAUCUGCCUGCUGGUUUCAUAUUUUUAAAUGGGUAGUUAAAGGUUUGGUAGUUACCUUAAAGGCUUGGGUAGUUACCUUCCUGCUCACAAACUUGUGGUGGUUCCUCCCUGUCUGUCAUUGACAAUCUAAAUCCGUUUGACAUUCAAGGUUCUCCAUAAGACCCUGACCUAUUCAAUUCCUGAUCAUUGUCCCAACGUCAAAUCUGUAAGUCACCCAACUACUCCUUACUGGUUUCGAUACUCAUGGCCAGCUCCCCACAUCCG
This is a long non-coding RNA of Canis lupus familiaris (dog), 1998 nucleotides long. RefSeq lists it as uncharacterized. The record is from RefSeq and is a predicted model, not a curated record. NCBI's taxonomy places the organism in Eukaryota, Metazoa, Chordata, Mammalia, Carnivora, Canidae. The transcript is spliced from 5 exons.